UUGGUUAUUUAUAAAAUCCACUUAUAUUGUUAAAAUCAUUCCAUAAAUAUUUAUAACAAUUGCACAACCAGGCAUACAACACUUUAACGCCGUAUCUAUCAGCUACCGUGUCAUUACAGCCCGGGUACACUGGCCGGUAAUUAACAUUGCAACCACACACUGCACAGCAAAUCAUAGCCCUUGGUGUACGAUGCACCUACAUAGUCACACCGAGGUGCAGAGUCUAUUGACCAGACAUCGAUUGUUUCCGAGCUGAUUGCUCUAUUCGAGUGGCUCAACAAUUAAAUGAAAUUAUUCCAUCGCCACUCAUCAUCAGCCCAAUCAGAUCAACGUCAAACCAUCUCCAUCCGCACACUCCUGACUGCUCCUCCUGAGGGGACCAGAAUACGAUCACCAUGAUUGCUGAUUGCGGUCGUCCCGAAGAUGACCGGGUGGAGUGUCUACAAGUUGUAUAAUAUUGUCAUUUUCUAACCGAAGAAAGAUGGAUGUAGAUUGACCCUUGCGAGGGCACCUUCACUCUCGCCCAUUUAGGAUCGGACGGUGCUGGCGGCCCUGGGAGCGGCGUUUGUACUGAGGCUGGUGUCGUUUUUGCUGUGUGGCAAGGCGACCCAAGAUUCAUCUCGGGUUCAUCUUAACUGCGCAUUAAACCUGCGGUACACUCUCGGCGUGGGCGGCUGUCAAUGCAAAAUUGUUUUAAAUUACCGGUGUCAUUCGCUCGGCCGCACGGAACACACGGCUCAAAUUCUGCGCCACAAAACGUGGCUCCGUUGCUAGAGCGACGCGACCGACCGGAAACUCGCGCGUCACACAACGCUCGUCAUAUCGUCCGGCCGACGUCAGCGGAGCGGUGUGGCAGGCUUAGAUUGCAAUCUAAUUACACCAAAGUGUCUGGGAGGCAUGUGUGGCGCGUGUGUAUUGCUGUGUCUGGUGGGAAAUGAACCCAACAGUAUCGCCGUAUCGUAUCACACGCUGGGUGGGUGUGUAACAGUAGUCGCAAGUGGAGGAGCGCGUAAAAAUCCCCAGGAAGGGGUGAAAAAUCCCAGAAUCGUAGAAUUUACCUGGGGUAUACCUUUCCUGGCAUCUUCUAAGCUAUACAGUUCAAGUGUUGGUUUGUCUGAAUUUAUGCAACAGAGUGAUAAAACUAUUCUUUUUUGAGGACGGUCCAUUUAAAAGUACUUAAUUAAGGUAUACGACCAUUCAAUUUAAUUCAAUUUGUUUCUUUUGAUUUUUGAUAGUAUCUGCGCACUUCGCAUUGAAAGUCACAUGUGUUGGACGUAAAACCGUGAAUGAAAUGUGCUCUCUGCUCGGCGUCCCAUAUGGAACAAAGCAAAAAACAAUGCCUGAUAACAGUUUGCCAAUCAAUAACAGAUUUCUUAUCACCAGCCAAACCUGCUGACACAGUGAGUAAAAUUAGAUUACGGCUCGCAAAAUGAUCACACCACCAUCUGGCACCAUCACAAAGUAAAGUAAAUAAACCUUUGUUAUCUUAAUACUACGCAAACAGUUUUAAACCAAUCAUGAAUCGACAAAUCCAUAAGCUAAACGUGUAAAAGACGUAAAACGAACAAAAACAAAAUAAAAUAAAAAUGAAACGUAUCAACAAAGAAAUGUAAAUAAUAAACAAUAAAAAAUAACAGCAAAUGCUAAAGAUAUCGAACAAAGAAAAGGGUGGCACUACAAAAAAUAACAAAACAUCACAAAUCAUAUCUAAUCAACUUAUCGCACGAACGAGCCCUAAAAAGGAAGGAAAAGAUUACAAUCUGGUGAACGGAGGGAUGACAUAUCUCGAACAGGUGACGUAGAAAGGUAUCGAACAUUCUAUCAAGUUCCAGAGCGAUCUGAUAAAACGUUUCAGAUAGUGCAAACAGCACGAAGAUUAUCAACCAGUCCUGCUACCAUUCGCACAUUGCGCUUAGCAACAAUAGUUGCGCUAUCUUUGGACAGCUUUCGAGAUUACAGAUCAUUCCUACUGAGCAACUUGAGCAACUACUGGAACGGUUUGCACUGGAUUGCAUAAAAUAAUAGGCAAAAGAGAAGGUAUCCCCUCGGUGCCAUGCAGUUAGACCGUCGUAGUCGUCCCUAUUCCCCCGUAAGUGUCAAUCCUGGGUGACAUUUUUGCUGCUCCAUUCGGUGUGACAGUGAAUCAGAGUCCCACCAGCCGAUGUCGUGUCCACAGAGCGGGGCGGGAACACAGGAAAACAACGGCCGAGAGUACCGUCAGCCAACCUAAUUACACUCCCGUAAGUACGGUAAAAAUCGGUACUAACGAACCGUUGAGGGUUUGCCACCCAGACGCACCCUCGGAUAGUAGUAAUAGUACAUGAAGGCUCCUCUCCCCGUUUCUCUCGCUCACACACUCUAGACACCUCGCUCCAGCUGACUCGAUUAUGUCUCUGCUGUGCUGUGCUUGGCAGACGUGCAGCGAAACCGAUUGCCAAACCCGGGCCUCUUCCCCGGGUGAAAGAGCCAUUCGAACGGGUUCGCAAGCAAAAAAAAUCACAAGCAAGAGCAGAACACACAGACCGGCAGACCCUCCAGGAGAGCAAGUUCCGUUCACCAGCGAUGAAGAACAGUUAAAACAGGCCUCUCGCCCGUCCUAACAGUUCUUGGUGUUCCGUGUUCCGCGCCAGGCCUAGACGACACCAGGAGAGGACGACUAGGCGCAAUUACCCGCAAACUCCGACACAACCUCUCCCCCGUUCUGAACUGCCACAGACAGUCCCGGGGUACUCUACGGGCAAAACGAAAUGUCAAACAAUGGAUACCGAAAGCCGGCCGGAGAGCGUGUGCUUAGUUGCUGCUGCUGCUGCUCCCAUUAUGGGUGUUCGCGAUGCAGUUGAAGAAAAUGGUUGACUGUCUUUCUGUACACAUCCAGUGCCCUCUGAUUCCCUCCCUCCCGCUCACUCUUCACUGUGACGGGCGCGCAUUUUGUUCGCUGACUGGUUUUGUUUCACCAGUCGCCACGGCAAUCAACGCGUCAAAGUGAGGUCUGUUGCGAAAAUAGGAGGAAAAAGUGCUACGUCUGUGCGAAGCGGAGCGGAAAGGGGAGCUGAUGGAGUCAGCGGUUUGCUGCCCUGGAUCGCCUUGGACCAUUUCGCGGCUAAAGGUUCAACCGGAUGGCUCGCCCUCAACUUCAAGCGUCGCCAGUGUGGUGUGUGGUUGGCGUAUCAGAACGAGGGGGAGUCAUGAUUAUUAAAGCCUGAACAUUGGACUCGUUUUGAAUGUAUACUAUCAACUUUGGAAGUCGCUUGAUUUCUGUACAAAGAACUUUUAAAUACUUUGACGUGCCUUUAAUCAACACAGUCUAAAGUCUGGAAAUAAAACAUUUAAACACAACA
Long non-coding RNA from Anopheles coluzzii, 3338 nucleotides. RefSeq lists it as uncharacterized. The transcript has 2 exons. The record is from RefSeq and is a predicted model, not a curated record. Lineage: Eukaryota; Metazoa; Arthropoda; Insecta; Diptera; Culicidae.